CCGCCCGUCACAUCACGAAGUCAGUUGCUCUUGAAGUCGCUGGGCUAACCGCAAGGAGGCAGGCGCCUACGGAGUGACUGGUGAUUGGGGUG
RNAcentral lists this ribosomal RNA (92 nucleotides) under uncultured bacterium. RNAcentral's name for it is "partial 16S ribosomal RNA". It matches the Rfam family "Bacterial small subunit ribosomal RNA", at positions 1390 to 1482 of the family's 1533-position model. The record is from RNAcentral.